This 253-nucleotide ribosomal RNA is filed under the name uncultured bacterium. Its description in RNAcentral is "partial 16S ribosomal RNA". It matches the Rfam family "Bacterial small subunit ribosomal RNA", at positions 524 to 776 of the family's 1533-position model. The record is from RNAcentral.
UACGGAGGGUGCAAGCGUUAUCCGGAUUCACUGGGUUUAAAGGGUGCGUAGGUGGGUUUGUAAGUCAGUGGUGAAAUCUCCGGGCUUAACUCGGAAACUGCCAUUGAUACUAUAGAUCUUGAAUCAUCUGGAGGUAAGCGGAAUAUGUCAUGUAGCGGUGAAAUGCUUAGAUAUGACAUAGAACACCGAUUGCGAAGGCAGCUCGUUACACGGUUAUUGACACUGAGGCACGAAAGCGUGGGGAUCAAACAGG